Molecule: ribosomal RNA, 353 nt
Filed under: uncultured bacterium
Lineage: Bacteria
Description: bacterial SSU rRNA
Rfam family: Bacterial small subunit ribosomal RNA
Source: RNAcentral
GGGCCCGCACAAGCGGUGGAGCAUGUGGUUUAAUUCGAUGAUACGCGAGGAACCUUACCAGGGCUUAAAUGUAGUAUGACCGGCUUGGAAACAGGCCUUCUCUUCGGAGCAGAUUACAAGGUGCUGCAUGGUUGUCGUCAGCUCGUGCCGUGAGGUGUUAGGUUAAGUCCUGCAACGAGCGCAACCCCUAUUCUUAGUUGCCAGCGGUUCGGCCGGGGACUCUAAGAAGACUGCCAGCGCAAGCUGAGAGGAAGGUGGGGAUGACGUCAAAUCAUCACGGCCCUUACGUCCUGGGCUACACACGUGCUACAAUGGCGGUGACAACGGGCAGCGAAGGGGCGACCUGGAGCAAA